CCUACGGGAGGCUGCAGUGGGGAAUAUUGCACAAUGGGCGCAAGCCUGAUGCAGCCAUGCCGCGUGUGUGAAGAAGGCCUUCGGGUUGUAAAGCACUUUCAGCGGGGAGGAAGGCGUUAAGGUUAAUAACCUUGUCGAUUGACGUUACCCGCAGAAGAAGCACCGGCUAACUCCGUGCCAGCAGCCGCGGUAAUACGGAGGGUGCAAGCGUUAAUCGGAAUUACUGGGCGUAAAGCGCACGCAGGCGGUCUGUCAAGUCGGAUGUGAAAUCCCCGGGCUCAACCUGGGAACUGCAUUCGAAACCGGCAGGCUAGAGUCUUGUAGAGGGGGGUAGAAUUCCAGGUGUAGCGGUGAAAUGCGUAGAGAUCUGGAGGAAUACCGGUGGCGAAGGCGGCCCCCUGGACAAAGACUGACGCUCAGGUGCGAAAGCGUGGGGAGCAAACAGGAUUAGAUACCCUUGUAGUC
RNAcentral lists this ribosomal RNA (465 nucleotides) under uncultured Klebsiella sp. Its description in RNAcentral is "bacterial SSU rRNA". It matches the Rfam family "Bacterial small subunit ribosomal RNA", at positions 338 to 795 of the family's 1533-position model. Lineage: Bacteria; Pseudomonadati; Pseudomonadota; Gammaproteobacteria; Enterobacterales; Enterobacteriaceae. The record is from RNAcentral.